UUACGCCUUCCAUGAAGCCGGAAUUGCUAGUAAUGGCAGGUCAGCAUACUGCCGUGAAUACGUUCCCGGGCCUUGUACACACCGCCCGUCACACCAUGAGAGUUGGGAAUACCCGAAGCCUGUGAGCUAACGUUAAGAGGCAGCAGUCGAAGGUAGAAUCAAUGAUUGGGGUGAAGUCGUAACAAGGUAGC
RNAcentral lists this ribosomal RNA (191 nucleotides) under uncultured bacterium. RNAcentral's name for it is "partial 16S ribosomal RNA". It matches the Rfam family "Bacterial small subunit ribosomal RNA", at positions 1310 to 1500 of the family's 1533-position model. The record is from RNAcentral.